GAGCAACCUGCCCCUGACUCUGGGAUAAGCGCUGGAAACGGCGUCUAAUACUGGAUACGAGUAGCGGCCGCAUGGUCAGUUACUGGAAAGAUUUAUUGGUUGGGGAUGGGCUCGCGGCCUAUCAGCUUGUUGGUGAGGUAAUGGCUCACCAAGGCGUCGACGGGUAGCCGGCCUGAGAGGGUGACCGGCCACACUGGGACUGAGACACGGCCCAGACUCCUACGGGAGGCAGCAGUGGGGAAUAUUGCACAAUGGGCGCAAGCCUGAUGCAGCAACGCCGCGUGAGGGAUGACGGCCUUCGGGUUGUAAACCUCUUUUAGCAGGGAAGAAGCGAAAGUGACGGUACCUGCAGAAAAAUCUUUUUGUUAACUACGUGCCAGCAGCCGCGGUAAUACGUAUGGCGCAAGCGUUAUCCGGAAUUAUUGGGCGUAAAGAGCUCGUAGGCGGUUUGUCGCGUCUGCUGUGAAAUCCGGAGGCUCAACCUCCGGCCUGCAGUGGGUACGGGCAGACUAGAGUG
Molecule: ribosomal RNA, 517 nt
Filed under: Microbacterium sp.
Lineage: Bacteria; Bacillati; Actinomycetota; Actinomycetes; Micrococcales; Microbacteriaceae
Description: bacterial SSU rRNA
Rfam family: Bacterial small subunit ribosomal RNA
Source: RNAcentral